RNAcentral lists this long non-coding RNA (569 nucleotides) under Homo sapiens (human). RNAcentral's name for it is "non-protein coding LINC02237:22". Lineage: Eukaryota; Metazoa; Chordata; Mammalia; Primates; Hominidae. The record is from RNAcentral.
UUUCUCUCAAGUGCACAUUAUCCAUCAAGAAGAUUUAAAUCAUUUUGAAAUAUUAAUAUAAUGAUCAAAAAUUAACUUUUAUACAUGUUAUUAGGCAGAACCCACAGAAAACAAUAAAGCACGAGAGAAAAGAGGAUGGCAGUUUACCCAGGAAACAUAGGUUGUGCAAAGCUUUGCAAUGAUACUCUCAAUUCAGAGCAAUGAAGAACAGAAUGCUGUCUUCCCAUAAUGAUGGCAUUCAAUUAUCACUAGACUUACAAGACUACAGAAAAUUUCUCAAGAACCAGUAAGGAUCAGACAGAGCCAAUGACAAUACUGAAGAAGCUUGCCAGUGGAGAAUGAAAGCUCAGUUACACAAAUUACGUUGUUGAACCAGUGCCAGAAAUAAAAUGUGAUGGACAAACUCAUUAAUUAUGAGCGUGAACCAGACAAAACUGAGAAUAAGGUGGGAAUUCCUUCAUAAUCUGUCCCUACUUAGUUGCACCAUAACCAUAAAUAUUGUAAGAGGCAAAAGAGUGGUAAAAAGCUCAUUAACACUGAGAUUAUUCUUGUUAAUUCAUCUGAAUGAG